GACGAACGCUGGCGGCGUGCCUAAUACAUGCAAGUAGAACGCACAGUUUAUACCGUAGCUUGCUACGCCAUAGACUGUGAGUUGCGAACGGGUGAGUAACGCGUAGGUAACCUGCCUGGUAGCGGGGGAUAACUAUUGGAAACGAUAGCUAAUACCGCAUAAUAUUGAUUAUUGCAUGAUAAUUGAUUGAAAGAUGCUAUUGCAUCACUACCAGAUGGACCUGCGUUGUAUUAGCUAGUAGGUGAGGUAACGGCUCACCUAGGCGACGAUACAUAGCCGACCUGAGAGGGUGGUCGGCCACACUGGGACGGAGACACGGCCCAGACUCCUACGGGAGGCAGCAGUAGGGAAUCUUCGGCAAUGGACGAAAGUCUGACCGAGCAACGCCGCGGGAGUGAAGAAGGUUUUCGGAUCGUAAAGCUCUGUUGUAAGAGAAGAACGGGUGUGAGAGUGGAAAGUUCACACUGUGACGGUAUCUUACCAGAAAGGGACGGCUAACUACGUG
RNAcentral lists this ribosomal RNA (505 nucleotides) under uncultured bacterium. RNAcentral describes it as "partial 16S ribosomal RNA". It matches the Rfam family "Bacterial small subunit ribosomal RNA", at positions 28 to 507 of the family's 1533-position model. The record is from RNAcentral.